Molecule: transfer RNA, 86 nt
Filed under: Candidatus Omnitrophota bacterium
Lineage: Bacteria; Pseudomonadati; Candidatus Omnitrophota
Also listed under: 1 other name
Description: Candidatus Omnitrophica bacterium tRNA-Leu
Rfam family: tRNA
About the family: Transfer RNA (tRNA) molecules are approximately 80 nucleotides in length. Their secondary structure includes four short double-helical elements and three loops (D, anti-codon, and T loops).
Source: RNAcentral
GCGCGAGUGGCGGAAUGGCAGACGCACCAGCUUGAGGGGCUGGCGGGAGCAAUCCUGUGCGAGUUCAAAUCUCGCCUCGCGCACCA